GAUGAAGAACGUAGCGAAAUGCGAUACUUGGUGUGAAUUGCAGAAUCCCGUGAACCAUCGAGUCUUUGAACGCAAGUUGCGCCCGAAGCCAUCAGGUUGAGGGCACGUCUGCCUGGGCGUCACAUAUCGUUGCCCAAUGCCUAUUGCAGUGCAAUAGGAAUUUCUAGGGCGAAUGAUGGCUUCCCGUGAGCGUUGUUGCCUCGCGGUUGGUUGAAAAUCGAGUCCUUGGUAGGGUGUGCCAUGGUAGAUGGUGGUCGAGUUAGAACGAUACCGAUCAUGUGCAUGCUCCCCAAAAUAUGGCCUCUAUGACCCACACGCGUCUUUUGACGCUCAUGACGAGACCUCAGGUUAGGCGGGGCUACCCGCUGAAUUUAAGCAUAUCAAUAAGCGGAGGA
Molecule: unclassified non-coding RNA, 395 nt
Filed under: soil metagenome
Description: partial contains 5.8S ribosomal RNA, internal transcribed spacer 2, and large subunit ribosomal RNA
Rfam family: 5.8S ribosomal RNA (bases 1-122)
Source: RNAcentral